RNAcentral lists this ribosomal RNA (271 nucleotides) under uncultured bacterium. RNAcentral describes it as "partial 16S ribosomal RNA". It matches the Rfam family "Bacterial small subunit ribosomal RNA", at positions 524 to 794 of the family's 1533-position model. The record is from RNAcentral.
UACGAAGGGUGCAAGCGUUAAUCGGAAUUACUGGGCGUAAAGCGCGCGUAGGUGGUUCAGCAAGUUGGAUGUGAAAGCCCUGGGCUCAACCUGGGAACUGCAUCCAAAACUACUGAGCUAGAGUACGGUAGAGGGUAGUGGAAUUUCCUGUGUAGCGGUGAAAUGCGUAGAUAUCAGAAGGAACAUCAGUGGCGAAGGCGGCUUCCUGGACCAAUACUGACGAUCAGGUGCGAAAGCGUGGGGAGCAAACAGGAUUAGAAACCCCGGUAGU